AAUAAUUCAAGUAUUGGACAUUUCAAUUAUAGUUCUUAGAAGAACAACGGCCAGCAUAAUAAUUCACAACUGAUAAGAGAAUGCCUGACAUUUCGGCACAGCCACAGUAAGCAGAGUGUGACGACGAGCAGCCAUUGGUGCAGCUAUGCUGACGCUGGUAGCCCUCGCCGUGGUUCUGGUCGGCGCCGUGGACGGGUCCACACCCACGGCGCUCUGCGGCACACAGCCGUGUCCUGAGCCGCUCCAGUGCCGUGAAGAGAGAGACGUGUCAGUCUGUGUGCGCGUGCCGGCCCCCACUUGCGCUGACACCAGCUGCCCGGCCGGACAAGAGUGUAUUCUGCAACAGGCGUUUUGUGACUCCUCACCCUGCGACCCGAAACCUACUUGCGUCAAUAGAAAUCCCUGCGGAACCUGCUUUGCUCCGCAGGAGUUCUGCCAGCUGCUGCCAUCGCCGAUCUGCCGUCUUGUCGUAACCAUAACAUGCGCCAACAAGAUCUGCCCGCCCGGAAAGAAAUGCAAGGAGCAAGUCUUUAACUGCUUCAGAGCCCCGUGUCCCCCGAUCCCAGAGUGUGUGUAAAUGAUUCUGUAUGUCUACUGGCAUCAAAUGAGAUGAUGGCUACCCGAAACACGAUCGCGCAUAGAUAAAACACGUGUAAGGUCUCGCUUGGGUACGUAUGCUGGGGUCACAGCAUUAAUAUUAUUUUUGCGGAUCAUCUUGGCCUUCUAAGACACCUUAGCCUUCCAUCUUAUCGGUUCAUAAUUUACGAUGCGAUGGUCAGAAUCGAUUUUGCGUGUGGUUUUGAAACGUUUCAUUUUGUUUCACUAAAAAGCUGUUUACAUCAGAGACAUCUGGUACAAAAUGCAAAUAACUAUGCAAUGGUAAGGUGAUCACCUAACAUGCAUAAUACGUACGUUUCCAGAUAAGUAUUUGAAAACUUGGUUGCAAUAACACUAAGCCGGUGCUGAUCACGACGGAAACCAGCUUUUAAGCGUAAUGGAGGUCAUGGAGUAGAAGGUUUUGUUCGGUUUCUUGCUUAGUUGGAGCAUUGCCACAGUUCUUUAUCAACAUCAGGAUAAUUGUGAGCCUCGUGUAUUUUUGUUAUGCUCAAAUGACGCCGUGCUUAAUAGGUGUAAUAAUCCUAAAGGAGUUGUCAUGCCAUAUGCUCUCGUUACUGGUGAACAAUUACAGUUUAUAUUGGGGUGUUCCGCUUCAGGCGUUCUAAAACCCAAAGGAGUAGUUCUGCUGCUUCAAUACAGGA
Long non-coding RNA from Pollicipes pollicipes, 1259 nucleotides. RefSeq lists it as uncharacterized. The transcript is spliced from 4 exons. Lineage: Eukaryota; Metazoa; Arthropoda; Thecostraca; Pollicipedomorpha; Pollicipedidae. The record is from RefSeq and is a predicted model, not a curated record.